GACGAACGCUGGCGGCGUGCCUAAUACAUACAAGUGGAACGCACAGUUUAUACCGUAGCUUGCUACACCAUAGACUGUGAGUUGCGAACGGGUGAGUAACGCGUAGGUAACCUGCCUGGUAGCGGGGGAUAACUAUUGGAAACGAUAGCUAAUACCGCAUAAUAUUAAUUAUUGCAUGAUAAUUAAUUGAAAGGUGCAAUUGCACCACUACCAGAUGGACCUGCGUUGUAUUAGCUAGUAGGUGAGGUAACGGCUCACCUAGGCGACGAUACAUAGCCGACCUGAGAGGGUGAUCGGCCACACUGGGACUGAGACACGGCCCAGACUCCUACGGGAGGCAGCAGUAGGGAAUCUUCGGCAAUGGACGAAAGUCUGACCGAGCAACGCCGCGUGAGUGAAGAAGGUUUUCGGAUCGUAAAGCUCUGUUGUAAGAGAAGAACGGGUGUGAGAGUGGAAAGUUCACACUGUGACGGUAUCUUACCAGAAAGGGACGGCUAACUACGUG
RNAcentral lists this ribosomal RNA (505 nucleotides) under uncultured bacterium. RNAcentral describes it as "partial 16S ribosomal RNA". It matches the Rfam family "Bacterial small subunit ribosomal RNA", at positions 28 to 507 of the family's 1533-position model. The record is from RNAcentral.